UCUAUUUAUAUAGUUUAGAUAAAAACAUUACAUUUUCAUUGUAAAAUCAUAUUUCAAGUUUUGUA
Molecule: transfer RNA, 65 nt
Filed under: Lygistopterus sp. UPOL MT0075
Lineage: Eukaryota; Metazoa; Arthropoda; Insecta; Coleoptera; Lycidae
Also listed under: 1 other name
Description: tRNA-Glu
Source: RNAcentral